UGGAAAAUACAAAGCAACGCCAAAGCUAAUACUGCAGAUGAUGAGUACUGUGAACGGGCUCAGCAUUUCCCAUAUCAAAAGCCAUCUUUAGAUGUACCUAAGUUGCAAAGAUAGCAACUUGCGCUUAAGAAGAUCAGGCCUUGAAGACAAUUUCAACGCUGGACUCUCAUCAUCUAAGAGAGUAGAAGGAUCUGAACAAAGAUCGGAGAAGCAA
This is a long non-coding RNA of Hibiscus syriacus, 214 nucleotides long. RefSeq lists it as uncharacterized. The record is from RefSeq and is a predicted model, not a curated record. NCBI's taxonomy places the organism in Eukaryota, Viridiplantae, Streptophyta, Magnoliopsida, Malvales, Malvaceae. The transcript has 4 exons.